RNAcentral lists this long non-coding RNA (2873 nucleotides) under Homo sapiens (human). Its description in RNAcentral is "non-protein coding LINC00847:6". The record is from RNAcentral. Lineage: Eukaryota; Metazoa; Chordata; Mammalia; Primates; Hominidae.
GUUGGAAAAUCCCACUUUACUUCAAGUGAAGUCACUGGGUUGUCCCCAUGAAAUAUCUCCACAAUGGGUGUGCUAGACCUUUACUCUCUGUGGCACCACCAAGACCCCCUCACCCUGCCAGAGCCCUCUGAAGUGUACUCAGAAUGGAGGGGCUGGAAGUGGGGCCAGUGGUCCUGGUAGUCAGCCUCCCCUUCUGACACAAGAAUUAUCGUGGAACAGCUUGUGUGACCGAUCAACUGGUCUCUCCAUCUUUAAGCCAUUGUCUUGUUGACUCUGUUACUGCAGAGUUUGGGGAGGUCUCAUGGCUUCUCGCAUCCUAUUUCCUGAGCUUCCCUGAAGCCAACUUCUGGCCACUGGUAUGUGAUGCGAGCACAGUGCCUCCUCCUGCUCCUCCAGGAAGCUUCUGCUGAUUGAACGCAGGCCAGAUGGCGAGAUCCGGAGCAACCUUCUUAGAUCAAGGGAAGAAAGGGGCACAAGAGGGGAGUAGGUAACAAGAUAAAAGGAGCUCCCUCCCUGAUGACUACAGAGCCAUCGUGGCAGCCCUGGGCCUCCAUUUCAGACGUUCAUCUUGCCUAAGCCACCACCAUCAGGGUCUCAGUCAGUCAUCAUUCUCAUUUACUCGGGUGGCUGGGUGAGGGCGGAAUACUACCUUCCAGCUGUCUGAGAUUAAGCCUAAGCCACCACCAUCAGGGUCUCAGUCAGUCAUCAUUCUCAUUUACUCGGGUGGCUGGGCGAGGGCGGAAUACUACCUUCCAGCUGUCUGAGAUUAAGCAGAACAGCAGCUAAAGCAGUAACAGCAGGUCUCCUUCAGCAGCUUGCCACAGGGAAGAGGGUCCCGCGUGAACCGAACUCAACUUCCACCUGCGCAGAGGUAGCUACCAUUUGCGUAGAGGUAGCUGGGUCUUUAAGGUUAGAGGGAAGGCGCAGGGAGGGAGAGACGGCGGGUGGGGGUUGAACAAAGUGGAGAUUCACAAAAGCAGACUAGGGCGGGCGACGUGAUCAGAUGACCUGUGCGGGCGGCAGCCUCCUGCCCUCCUCCCCUUCGUGCGCCGGCUGGAGCGAAGAGUUCUUUUGACAGCCGUGAGCUUCCCCGCCAGGAACUUACUGGGGCUGCAUCACCCUAGAAACGUGGCUUUGGGCUGUGGAAACGCUGCCUCUGUGGAAGUCUCUCCUCGCGGGGGUGGACGGGUCGCUGCGCGCCCAGCGUUCUUCUGCGGUUCUCACAGCCCGCCGCCGCCGCCGCCUCGGGGACCUUUGCGGGGAGGCCUCAGGUACCAGUCAGGACUGGUAGACUUUAAUGUGGAGAACUUCUGAAACAGCAGUUCUCAAAAUGUUACCUCCAGACACACAGAAUCUGCAUCACCCAGGAACUUGUAACCAUGCAAAUUCUCAGCCACCCAGACUUCCUGCAUCAGAAACUCUGGGGCCCAGCAGCCUGUGUUUUAACAAAGCCCUUCAGGCUGGAGUAUAGUGGCAUGAUCAUAGAUCACUGCAGCCUCAAACUCCUGGGCUCAAGCGAUCCUCCCACCUCAGCCUCCAUAUAGCUGGUGGGGACCAAGUUUCUAACACAUGAAUGUUGGGAGACACAUUCAGACCAUCGCAGUGGCCUUAUAAAAAGAGACACAAGAGCUUGCUCUCUGCCAUGUGAGAAUACCACAAGAAGACUGUCCUCAGCAAAUCAGAAAGCGGGUGGACCCUCAUCAGACACCAGAUGUGCCUGCACCUUGAUCUUGGACUUGCCAGCCUUCAGAACAGUAAGAAAGAAAUGUGUGUUGUUUAAGCCACCCAGUCUAUGGUAACUUGCUAUAGCAGCCCACUAGGAGACCCCAAGAUAUUUAAAAACUCAUCAGCACCUGCUUUCUGCAUCUGGACCCUGAUCUUCUGGUGGGUUUACCAGUUACUUGUAGAGUGUCCCUGUGAUAGUUUUAGGUGUCAACUUGACAGGAUUGAGGGAUGCCUAGAUGGCUGGGGAAGCACUGUUUCUGAGAAGGACCAUGUUUUUGGAGGAGACUGUUUUAUGAGUGAAUUUCAGGGGACACAUUCAGAUCAUGGCAGUGGCAUUAUAAAGAGAGACACAAAAGCUUGCUCUCUCUCUCUGCCAUGUAAGACUACCACACAAAGACUGCCAUCUGCAAACCAGAAGCAGGUGGGCUUUCCUCAGACACCAGAUCUGCCUGCACCUUGAUCUUGGACUUGCCAGCCUUCAGAACUCUAAGAAAGAAAUGGUAGCAUGGCUUGGUCUAAGUUGGAAGGCCUGAGAAACAAGCACAUGGUGGAACUGAGUUCAAGGAUAAAGACUUGAGAAUACCUGCUCAGUGGACUGAGUAGGGAAGAUCAACCCUCAAUGUAGGCAGGCACUAUCCAAUCACCUGAGGGCCCAGAUGGAACAAAAAGGUGGAAGAAGGGUGAAUUCUCUCUUCCAGAGCUGUGACACCCUUCUCAUGCCCUUGUACCACACAACUCUAGGUCCUUUGGCCUUUGGACUCUGACACUUGCACCAGUGGCCCUCUGGGGCUCUCAAGCCUUUAGCCUUGAACUUAGUUACACCAUGUGCCUCCUUGUUUCUCAGGCCUUCCAACUUGGAUCAGGCCAUGCCACCGGCUUCUCUGAUUCUCCAGCUUGCAGAUGGUAUAUUGUGACCCUGGCAUUUAAUAACUAUGACUUUGGUCUUAAGCAAUUUUCUUCCUCUGUGGAUUGAUAUUUACAUAUCAAUGUGGAUAAUAAUUUCUUACCACGGUAACUGUUGUGAGGUAAAAAUGAGUUAACAUAAGUAAAACCGAGCACAUGCAAACCAUCCGAAAUGGUUAAUACUUACUAUUUGUACUUGAAGAAAUAAAUGUUUUUGACAAUAAACUUCUUGUGCAGUUUUCCUC